Molecule: ribosomal RNA, 274 nt
Filed under: uncultured bacterium
Lineage: Bacteria
Description: partial 16S ribosomal RNA
Rfam family: Bacterial small subunit ribosomal RNA
Source: RNAcentral
CAGCGGGAGUAGCAAUACUUGCCGGCGACCGGCGCACGGGUGCGUAACACGUAUACAAUCUGCCUUCUACUGGGGGGAUAAGCCUUUCGAAAAGAGAGAUUAAUACCCCAUAAUAAAUGGAAAUAGCAUUAUUUAUUUUGAAAGAUCCGUCGGUAGAAGAUGAGUAUGCGUCUGAUUAGCUAGUUGGUGAGGUAAUGGCUCACCAAGGCUACGAUCAGUAGGGGAUCUGAGAGGACUACCCCCCACACUGGUACUGAGACACGGACCAGACUCC